This 668-nucleotide ribosomal RNA is filed under the name uncultured organism. Its description in RNAcentral is "bacterial SSU rRNA". It matches the Rfam family "Bacterial small subunit ribosomal RNA", at positions 33 to 717 of the family's 1533-position model. The record is from RNAcentral.
ACGCUGGCGGCGUGCUUACACAUGCAAGUCGAACGGGAACCUUUGGAUUCGUCUGAAGGGGAGAGUGGCGAACGGGUGAGUAACACGUGGGUGACCUGCCUCGAAGACGGGGAUAACCACUGGAAACGGUGGCUAAUACCCGAUGGUCUCGAUAAUUCGGUUUAUCGAGUAAAGGCUCCGGCGCUUUGAGAGGGACCUGCGGCCCAUCAGCUAGUUGGUAGGGUAAUGGCCUACCAAGGCAAAGACGGGUAGGGGGCGUGAGAGCGUGACCCCCCACACUGGCACUGGGACACGGGCCAGACUCCUACGGGAGGCAGCAGUGAGGAAUAUUGCGCAAUGAGCGAAAGCUAGACGCAGCAACGCCGCGUGGGUGAUGAAGGCCUUCGGGUCGUAAAACCCUUUUCUGGGGGAAGAGUAAGGACGGUACCCCAGGAAUAAGCCUCGGUUAACUAUGUGCCAGCAGCCGCGGUAAUACAUAGGAGGCAAGCGUUAUCCGGAUUUACUGGGCGUAAAGAGCGUUGAGGCGGCUUCGUAAGUUGGACGUGAAAAGCUCCCGGCUUAACUGGGAGAGGCCGUUCAAUACUGCGGGGCUUGAGGAACAGCAGAGGGGGGUGGAAAUUCCGGUGUAGUGGUGAAAUGCGUAGAUAUCGGAAGGAACACCAGUGGCG